GUAAACAAUUGACCUUACGACAGCGGCUUCUAAGCCACGCCCCCUGAUAUCAAGGGAGCGAACUCUGUCUAUGUCCGUCAAACAAACGAGGAAGUAAUGGCGUCUCGUGUCGUUUCGCUUUCCGAUAUUCCUGACAAAUUAUCAUAAAUGUGAAAUUACAAUGCGAAAAAAAUAGAAGUCAAAGGAAUUUGUAACUGGCUGCUACAUCGGAAGGCUCGAUAUAUCUUUAGAAAAUGACGAUAUCUAACAUUUACGGGGUGAAAUCUAUCCAAGUCAGAGAAAAUCGGAUAGCCGCCAUGUUGUCAAUAUUGACAUCGAAACAAAGGAAAAGCGUGUGUGUGACGCAUACUGUAAAUGCAAACAAGGAAAUUGUGGAACAUGUUCACACACUCUGGCUGUAAAAGUAGACCUGGGAGGAAAAGUGCCCCCGGUGUGGGGCUCGAACUCACAACCACCAGAACCGCGCGGCACUCUAACCAACUAAGCUGACCGGGCAGCUGGUUCUAACCCACACACACUACCCUCCCCCCAUUUACCGGUUAAGGCUGGUGGAGGGUCUCCUGUUAUUGAACGUUGACACCAUUAAAGUAUUCUGAUUGAUGGAGAUAAGGAAGUCCCCUUAUUAUUGUCUUCAACAAGCCUACCGCCACAGGGGACCUAGCAUAAGACCGGAAACCGCCCCCCCACACACACACACACAUGAUAUUUGCCAGUCCAGGCAAUGUCAACCACAAGAGAAAACCAGUGAUGACAAGUUUUACAAAUAAUCGGAAAGUGUGGUCUUUUGAAGAGAGUUCUUGAAGUUGUUCAGCAUGUUGUUGCAUAUUUAAUAUCAGAUUUAUUAAAUACAUUGUUGUUUUACAAACAUUACUUAAAUUUUGAUAUUUCUGUGGUGUUUAUGUAUGAUAUUGUAGGUGAAUAUCUCUUUAUUGCAAUGGCAAAUAUAUUUUAAAAUAUAUAGCAUUAGCAGAAGUUAUUUUUCACUGUUAAAGCUGCACUUUCACAGAUUGAUCACUUUGACAACUUACACAGGAUUUGAUUGCAUUUAUCAUAUUUUGGCUCGGAGAAGUUUGCUGUGUGAUUUAUAUAUUAGGUCUUAAUUUAAAGAAUGCCAAAAUAAGCCGAUUCUGAGACAAAAAGUGUCAAACUAGAAUUCUGUGAGAGUGCAACUUUAAGAAUACUGUUAAUCGAGUGUGCAUGUGAUCCGGACUCUGAACAUUGGAUGAACUAUCAUUAAAUAUUGUAGAUUAACGUAAAUGGCCCAAAAUAUAAGAAUAACAAUGAAAAUAUGUA
Molecule: long non-coding RNA, 1293 nt
Organism: Mya arenaria
Lineage: Eukaryota; Metazoa; Mollusca; Bivalvia; Myida; Myidae
Exons: 3
Source: RefSeq, a predicted model, not a curated record